Molecule: long non-coding RNA, 327 nt
Organism: Mastomys coucha (southern multimammate mouse)
Lineage: Eukaryota; Metazoa; Chordata; Mammalia; Rodentia; Muridae
Exons: 2
Source: RefSeq, a predicted model, not a curated record
CUCAGAAUUGACAUCUUUCAAAGACCAUUCAUAUUAAGAGAGGGAGCAGCAGAAGAUGGGAACCUUAUACUUCAGGGCAUAAAUUGUCACAGUUCCUUAGAAUGCCAGUUCACAAAGAGUUAACCAGCCUCGCCAGUGAAGGACUCCUGACCAACUAACCAGAGAAGGGAGCACUAGCAAUGCAUCCUUUAACUUUUCCCACCACCACACACCCAGUGCCCACUGUUAAACAGCAGGCAUUAAUUUGCCUGAAGCCAUAGGUUUCUGGUCCCAGAAUAACAAAGAAUCAAGGAGAGUAAGAAUGAAUACUAAGCAACUUUUACUAUU